This 599-nucleotide small RNA is filed under the name Histoplasma capsulatum var. duboisii H88. RNAcentral's name for it is "Histoplasma capsulatum H88 hypothetical RNA". The record is from RNAcentral. Lineage: Eukaryota; Fungi; Ascomycota; Eurotiomycetes; Onygenales; Ajellomycetaceae.
GUGGAUAUUCCCCAUUGUUCCUAUAGAAUGAUAUUAGACUUGAUGAUGUUGUCGUGAGCCGGCCACGGGAUGGGUUUGGGGGUGUGGUACAGUAUGAUCUAGGGAAGAAGUUACAGAAUGGCCGAUUUCGAAAGACAGGGCAACUCAACACCCCACCUACCCACCCGAGAAACUCCUAGGAGCCAUUCCUGAGAUGCGAAGGCUCUACAAUGACAAAAGAAAGCCAGACAGAAUCAUGAAGCAUCUUCAGUGCAUGAAUGAUAUGGAAAACUAUCAACAGCCAGCAAUUGACUGGUUAUACAGGGUCGACUAUCCAGUUGUGACCGGUUGUUGAAUGCCCAGAACACCAGAACCACCACAUUGCCCAUGUUCACUAUGGAACUAUUGCAUCAGGGGAUUCUAUUCUCAAAGAUGCCAUUAUGCACAAUGCAUAUGCAUAAGAUUCAGAGCUAAAUGCUUUAUGUUUUGAGAUGGAAGCUGCAGGUCUGAUGAAUAACCUCCUCUGUCUUGUAUGAAAUUACAGCAGUCUAUAGUGACAAAUGUGUCAAAUGGGUUUUUUUGAUGUUUCCCACUGUAAUUACUUAAUUCCACUUACAGAC